GAUGAACGCUAGCGGCAGGCCUAACACAUGCAAGUCGAGGGGUAGCAGGAUUAAGCUUGCUUAAUUGCUGACGACCGGCGCACGGGUGCGUAACGCGUAUUCAACCUACCUUAUACUGGGGUAUAGCCCGGAGAAAGUCGGAUUAAUCCACCAUAGUACGAAUGAAUCGCAUGGUAUAUUAAUUAAAGCAUUGCGUGAUAAGAUGGGCAUGCGUCCCAUUAGUUAGAGGGUGAGGUAACGGCUCACCAAGGCUACGACAGGGAGGGGGCCUGGGAGGGUGGUCCCCCACACUGGUACUGAGACACGGACCAGACUCCUACGGGAGGCAGCAGUGAGGAAUAUUGGUCAAUGGGCGCAAGCCUGAACCAGCCAUGCCGCGUGCAGGAAGAAUGCCCUAUGGGUUGUAAACUGCUUUUAUUUGGGAAUAAACCUCUUUACGUGUAGAGAGCUGAAGGUACCAAAUGAAUAAGCACCGGCUAACUCCGUGCCAGCCGCCGCGGUAA
RNAcentral lists this ribosomal RNA (503 nucleotides) under uncultured bacterium. RNAcentral's name for it is "partial 16S ribosomal RNA". It matches the Rfam family "Bacterial small subunit ribosomal RNA", at positions 28 to 523 of the family's 1533-position model. The record is from RNAcentral.